UGGGGAAUUUUGGACAAUGGGCGAAAGCCUGAUCCAGCAAUGCCGCGUGUGUGAAGAAGGCCUUCGGGUUGUAAAGCACUUUUGUCCGGAAAGAAAUCCUUGGCUCUAAUACAGUCGGGGGAUGACGGUACCGGAAGAAUAAGCACCGGCUAACUACGUGCCAGCAGCCGCGGUAAUACGUAGGGUGCAAGCGUUAAUCGGAAUUACUGGGCGUAAAGCGUGCGCAGGCGGUUUGCUAAGACCGAUGUGAAAUCCCCGGGCUCAACCUGGGAACUGCAUUGGUGACUGGCAGGCUAGAGUAUGGCAGAGGGGGGUAGAAUUCCACGUGUAGCAGUGAAAUGCGUAGAGAUGUGGAGGAAUACCGAUGGCGAAGGCAGCCCCCCUGGGGCCAAUACUGACGCUCAUGCACGAAAGCGUGGGGAGCAAAACAGGAUUAGAUACCCCUGGUAGUCCACGCCCCUAAAACGAUGUCAACUAGUUGUUGGGGAUUCAUUUCCUUAGUAACGUAGCUAACGCGUGAAGUUGACCGCCUGGGGAGUACGGUCGCAAGAUUAAAACUCAAAUGAAUUGACGGGGUCAUAGCUG
Molecule: ribosomal RNA, 585 nt
Filed under: uncultured bacterium
Lineage: Bacteria
Description: partial 16S ribosomal RNA
Rfam family: Bacterial small subunit ribosomal RNA
Source: RNAcentral